UGGCCCGUUGGUCAAGCGGUUAAGACACCGCCCUUUCACGGCGGUAACACGGGUUCGAGUCCCGUACGGGUCAUC
Molecule: transfer RNA, 75 nt
Filed under: Granulicatella adiacens
Lineage: Bacteria; Bacillati; Bacillota; Bacilli; Lactobacillales; Carnobacteriaceae
Description: tRNA-Glu(ttc)
Rfam family: tRNA
About the family: Transfer RNA (tRNA) molecules are approximately 80 nucleotides in length. Their secondary structure includes four short double-helical elements and three loops (D, anti-codon, and T loops). Further hydrogen bonds mediate the characteristic L-shaped molecular structure. tRNAs have two regions of fundamental functional importance: the anti-codon, which is responsible for specific mRNA codon recognition, and the 3' end, to which the tRNAs corresponding amino acid is attached (by aminoacyl-tRNA synthetases). tRNAs cope with the degeneracy of the genetic code in two manners: having more than one tRNA (with a specific anti-codon) for a particular amino acid; and 'wobble' base-pairing, i.e. permitting non-standard base-pairing at the 3rd anti-codon position.
Source: RNAcentral